UUUACAUGAUUUUCCAGGUCACAGGAUACCAUGCCCCUAAUCCCGACAAUGUGGAAGAGAGAAAUAUAUUUAACAACCAGAUAAUAAAUGGCCACCAAGUAAAACAGAACAUAUCUCAGUCUUAAAAUAUCUCCAAGUUCUGAUGAAAUAAAGAUUAUUCAGACACCAAAAUUCAAAUUCUCCAAACCACCACUCAUCAAAAAUACUAAAAAUUUCAUUGCCUCAUCUGCCAAUCCUUCAACAUAAUACAUACCAUAAGGAAUUCUAUUCUUCAGAGUGAUGCCACCUAGCAACAACCUUCUCUGCUAUCAUGGAAAUAAAUAGCAACACAAUACUUUAUGAUGUAAUCAACCCAGCAGCAAGAGCAUCAAUGGCAACAAAUUUUAUUGGCCUUUGAGUAUACAUGUAACUCAGUGAGGGGAAAGAGGCCAGUCUUAGACCUUGAGUCUAAGUCUUUUGAAUCUCCCAUGGCUUUGUAUAUCACAAACUGAGGCAAUGCAUGCUAAGUCAUUCUGUCCUCAAUCAAGUUUCUGGAUGAUUGUUGGGCACUCUUCAGAGAGAUGAUGACAUUUCAUCAGACAAAAAAACCAAAUGAAUAUGUCAGGCAAAACUAGAGAACAAAAGUGUAUUAUUGAGUGUCGGACUUGGAGCAAAUGACCUUAAAGUUUCCUGAUACUUUACUGGAGAAGAAAACUCAAUUUUGUAGAAUGUCAUGUAAAGAAGCAAGUCUGUGAUACUCAAGCAUGGGCAUGGCUCAUUAUUCUAAAAACUUGCCCAAGCUUUAUUCUCUGCUCUUGAUGCAAAAUAUGAGAACAUUCAAGGUGUCUUUCCAUGUAGUAUUGGAUAGAAAAUGAAAAAUAUUAAACAUAACAGCAUAUAUCUCAUUCUACAACAUUCCUGAGCAUAUAUCCUCUUCUCCAUUGGGAAUUUUAAGGAAAUACUCCAUUAAAACUGAUUCUUACAAGUUAAUUAUGGAUAUAGACCAUCUUAUGAAAUUAAAACACUAUGGUGGUAGUAGGGAUCUGACUUUCAAAAGGGGAGGAGAAUAAUGGAAAGUCUCAAGGUCAAAACAUUUGUUUGAAAGUACAAAACCUUGAAGUCCCAGGAUCAGAAUGCUUGUGACUAUUUGAAAGGAAGUGUAGUGACUCAGAGAAUAAAAAAAAUGACUUUGAGGCAAUUUCUUUACAUGAAAUAGCAAGAGGGAAAAACGCCUUCUGUAACUUUGGUGCAUAUAAAAUAACUGCUCCAAGGGUUGGUAUUUAAAGAAGCAGAGAAGGGACAACAAAUGUGUAAUGUCAUUUUAUUCUAGAUGGUUUGUGGGUUUUCAGGUACAGGGCAUUUAUUGAGGAAUUAAGCCAGUACCACAGAGAGCAGUGGGGAUGAUAUAUGUAGAAGAUAGCAGUUUUUCAGUUUCCGAGUCAUGAGUAACCACUACAUGCUUGUGUUUUGUAUGGACAUCUCUUCACAGAAAUACUAGUCACAUGAAUAUUCCCUGUGUUCAUGGUGGAGAACCUAUGGCAUACAUGCCAAAAGGGGCACUCAGAGCCCCCUCUGUGGGCACAUAUGCUGUUGCCCUAGUACAGAGUUUGCCAGAGUUUGUUACUAGAAAGUCAGAGGGAUAAGGGGCCGGGCUACUCCCCUCCCCCUUGCUUGAGAACAUUUCUUACAUCACCUCUCCAUCUAAGAUUCCUAAUCACUGCCUUAUGCCUAGAUGACUCACACAAUAUUCUUCAAAAUGUUCCUUCCUGAGUGGGCAUGUGUUCUUUGAAGUGUAACUUCAAGUUUAUGGGAUAUGAGGGGAAAUUAUGAUGUUAAUUCCUUUAUUAUUUAAUUUAAGCACCAUCAUCAUGUACUAAGUAUUUUGUAUGAUAUUGGUAAAAAUGAAAUACAUUGAUAGAGGCUUCUGAUCUAAUAGAUUUGGAGAAUAUUUGGACCCAUUUCCCUCUUCUACACUCACUAAAUCCUGGCACCAGUACCAAACCUAGGAAAGGGGAUGCAAGGGUCCUUAAGGGUAGUCAGAACCUAAUGUGGUGGUGGAGAUGAAGAACUAGAGAGAGUAUAAUCUAUCCAUAGCAAUGUCAAGUAGUCAGCGAAGAGAAGAGAUUGGACUAGGCUUCUUGACCAGGAAUACAAACUGAUCCCUUCCAGAAGACUGCUUCCACUGGAAAUGGCCCCCUUCACAAAUGAAAUAUUUCUAAGAGUGAGAUCCAGUGGAAAAAAAGAUUGCUAUAAUAACAUAAAAAUAAGAUAGAGGAAGGAGCUCAUUUUGAUAUUAAUUCUCAUAAAAUAUUCAGAAGUAUUAGAAAAUCAUUUUGGUAGGUGUAGGGAGGAUAAAAUUGGACAGGGAAAUCUAUAGACCAGAAGACCAAUUGAGAGGCUAUUGCAAUAGUUCAGGGAAGAAGUGAUGAAGACUUUGACUUGAUUUAAAGUUGUGUGAGUAGAAAGAAAAUAGAUUUGAAAGUCAGAUAGGGAUAACAAAUGAUUGAGAAAGUUGGAGUGACAAGUCUUGGGAAUUGUUUAGUAAUGGAGACUGAGGGAAGAUAGCAGAAUUAAGGAUGUCUGUGUAAAAAUAGGCAAGUGGAAAGGAUAUAAAUUGAAAUAUGUGCAUGUAUGCACACACUUAAUAACAAUAGUACUAUUAAUAUAAUAAAUAACUAGCAUUUAAAUAAGGUUUUAAGGUUUAAAAAGCACUUGAUUUAUUUGAUCCAUACAACAAUCCUGUGAAAUACAUACAAUUAUCCCCUAUUUUAGAGAUGAAAAAAUAGUGUCUGUCAUAGGUUGAGUGACUUGACCAGGCACAGCUACUAAGUGUCUGAGGCUGAAUUUGAACUCAGACCUUCCUGACUCUAGGGCUAUUAAGUUAUUCUCUUUAUCACCUCUCUUCUCCCCACUUCUGGGAGUUGACAAACAAUUUCCCUGAGUUAUAGUUAUAUUAUCACAAAUCCAAUUUUUAAAAUU
This is a long non-coding RNA of Monodelphis domestica (gray short-tailed opossum), 2958 nucleotides long. RefSeq lists it as uncharacterized. Lineage: Eukaryota; Metazoa; Chordata; Mammalia; Didelphimorphia; Didelphidae. The record is from RefSeq and is a predicted model, not a curated record.